Molecule: non-coding RNA, 929 nt
Organism: Pogona vitticeps (central bearded dragon)
Lineage: Eukaryota; Metazoa; Chordata; Lepidosauria; Squamata; Agamidae
Source: RefSeq, a predicted model, not a curated record
CUUUGGUUGAACCGCACGCCACACAUCCUUUCUUUUCCACCCCUAGCGAGGGAUGCCUUACGACUACUCGCUAUCCAACGGUGCUGUUUACGCUAUCUGCGCAAGUGCUAGGCACAACUGCUUUCAGUUAUCCCUUCUUUACCCUGGAGGUCAGAUGGAGACAAUAAGCUUUGUAACAAAACAGAAAACACCUUUAAGAAGCUGCAUCUUAAUUACUGCUUCAAACCCAGCCCACUCUUGACAAACUGGUCCGUGUGUGUAUCACGAAGCCAAAGGAGGAACUAUAAAGUGGUGAACCGUAUUGCAGGAAGUGGCACUGUACUGUUCUCACUGUGGGAAUUGAGAUUCAAAGAAAAUCUUAAGAUGGCAACAGAAUUUUCAGCAAGUCAGAUAUAUAAAACAUCUGUUGCACAAUGCAGUUACACAGAUGUUUGUAGAGCCAGACAAGCAGAACAGAUAACAUUUUAUUCCAGCAACAUGAGAUAUCAGUUAUUUUUAAGUCCAAUUUGAAGUUUUCAAUUAUUUCUAAAGUCUGAAUUAACUUGGGGCCUUGUUUGCUUAGGCCAUAAGAUCUAUCAGAGAUACCCAGCUCACAUACGGUGUAAUCUAUUUGGCUGAUGCAGUGAUAUGAAAUUUCCAGUUAAUUUUGAAGCCAUGGGAGGGGGGAGGCUUUUUCUAAACUGGAAUGUGGAUUAGUGCUAAAGUUGGAGUACCACAGAAUGUUAAUGGCUAGUACCAGGGAGAAGGAGGCCAUCCAAGCGUGGCCAGACACAAUCACUCUCUAAUACUGGGUUACAGUGCUUGGACAGAGAAGUUUUGCACAAUUGUAGUGUUGACAGGAACCUCAUGCUGCAGUAGUUACACUGCAGUGAAGACUGCUUAUGACCCGGGUUCAGGUAGCCAGCUCAAGGUUGACUCAGCAUUCUAUC